GAGCAUAUGAUGUUACAAGGAGAUGGUACUGAGAUUUACGUUGUUGAAGUAUCUUAAACCGAGCUUUUUAAAACUGAUUCUUG
Molecule: small nucleolar RNA, 83 nt
Filed under: Triticum aestivum (bread wheat)
Lineage: Eukaryota; Viridiplantae; Streptophyta; Magnoliopsida; Poales; Poaceae
Source: RNAcentral